Molecule: long non-coding RNA, 786 nt
Organism: Phalaenopsis equestris
Lineage: Eukaryota; Viridiplantae; Streptophyta; Magnoliopsida; Asparagales; Orchidaceae
Exons: 2
Source: RefSeq, a predicted model, not a curated record
GCAGGCUGAUGCUAUUCAUCUGAAGAAGCGUAGGAUCUUCAGCCUCCUCGCCAUCACUCGCCGGUCUAACUGGAUGACAAUAGUACAAAGGGAUGACUUGCAAAGAGUGAAAGCGUGGAAAAAGAUUGUUUAUUACAAGAGUUAAGAUAAAGAACUGGUCUAUUAAGAUACUUUCUCAACAUUAAAGUUGACACUGACAAUAUGGGAUCUUUGUCUUAACUCAUGUAAUAACAAAAUAACCGGGGCAAAUUCCAAUAGAGAGACACAUUGAACAUAUUCACAAAAUUUAUGAAGCUCGAACAGAUGUGUUGGGUUUGUGAAGCUGAAGUACCUACAAGCGAUCGAGUGUCCGAGGAUAUGCGCCGAAUUGUGGGCGCUACUCAGACGCCAGUCUAUAGCGCAUAUGCGCCCACUUUAUGUGGGUGUGCAGUAAAGUUAACGCAUAGGCACCAACUUAGGCGCUCGACCCAGAGGCCUUGGCGCUUGGGCACCAUGACCGGGCACCUAUGCGUCCCGAGCAGUUUUCACACGAUUUUGGUUUUAAGGGUCAAAUUCAAGUGGCGUAAAGUGCUGACUUUCUGUGCGAGUUCUUCGACAAGUUUUUGACGAAUGAAAGAAGUGCUAAAAAAGGGAUUUCUGUGUUCUUGACGUACGUUUUUUGCAUCGGAUUACAGCAUGAAGAGUUUGGAAAGUGGUCUUGUAAAUUUCCUUGAGAGAGGAGAGGAAAUUUGACAAUAUUCUCUGUGUAAACUUUUUGAAUUUCAUAAUGAAAUUUUUUGACGGUAA